GAUGCCACCACAGCAUGGCUUGAUGAGUGGUGUAAAGGUCCGUACCCAGCAUCCAAACCUCCGAACCCUGGGCUGCUGAAGCGGAGCACACCAACUUAACCACUACGCAAUGAGGCCAGCCCCUAGUUUUUAGUUUUUUUUUUUUUUAUUAAGGUUAUGAAAGUUAACAUCCUUGUGAAAUUACAGUUGUGCAUCAUUAUUGGUCAUGUUGUGGGUACACCACUUCACCCCUAGUGCCCUCCCCCCACCCCUCUGUGUUUAUUUUUUUUAAAUCACUAUUACACAAGUUGCAUUUUACUAACCAUGUUUGUAAUUCGUUGGCAGAUUUCUGACUUAGGGACAGGUUUUUCAACAUUGCACAUUAGAGUCACCUGGAGAACCCUUGAAAAAAUACCGAUGACUGGCUCCUGCCCACAGAGAUUCUGGUUUCGUUAUUCUGAGGCGGGGCCUAGGUCUGCUUGUUGUUGUACUGUGCAAACAGACCUGAGAAGCACUGGCCCAUAGUAACAUUUAGAAAAGACUCAGUGGUCCCUUUGCCUCCCCUCUCCCUGGGCUUCCAACCUGAACUCAGCUUUCUAGAUCUUUCCAUUCCAAUGGCUGGGAAAGGCAGAUCCAAGGAAAGGAAUGGAAUGGCUUUGCGGCUGGAGACCUAAAGAGGAGAUAUUAAAGCUGUAGGCCACACAGCAUCCAGGGCAAGACUCCUCCCAAGCUCGAGGCGUUCCCAGGCCUGUUUUACCACCGGCCCAUGCGAGAAGAGUACUCUUCACUGGAGAGCCAAUCCGGGGGGUGGAAGACUGAAAGGGGUCUGGCUGUGACCUGCCAGAGGCCCCACUCCUGGCUCCUUGACCCAGUGAACAAAGCUCCUUCCUGUUGGUUGGUAAGGUAUACUUCUAACCCUAACGUUCAAGAAAUUACCUACACAAAGUUGAAGGUGAGUCUUAGAAUUUUAUGCGUAGGUGAGCUUUGAAGAGCCCCUGCCCUUAUUUGAGAGUAAAUAAGCUAAGGUGGCCAAGCCACUGUGAAACCUGUGAUCACAAGGGUAAGUAGACAGUUGCUGGCAGAGCUGGGAGUGGCUCCUGUAUAUAGGUCAUCAGGUUGCAGUGUUGUACCUUACUCACUAGAUCAUGCUGUUCAAAGUUCUGCCUAUAACAGCUUCCCAACUUGUUCUAUGGCACAACCAGAGACACUCACAACUAGAAUAUACAACUGUGUACUGGGGGGCUUUGGGAAGAAGAAAAAAAAAAACUUGUUAUAUAAACCUACAAUUUUUUAAAAAAUUCUUAGUUUUAAUAACCUCUGUAUUCCAACUCUUAAAAAUUAUUCUAGAGAACCAGAUUCAAACCUGCAGAACAAGAAUGUAACUUGUUAUAAAGUUAGUUGAAGGAAAAACAUUUUACAUACGUUAUUUGAUAGAGAUUAGUACAUACCACAAGACUAUAUUCACGUGAAUGAAAAUCAUUUAGAUAUCUCCUUCUGCAGUUUAUUAGGAUAUGGAGUUGGAGUUAUUUAUUCCUUUCAAGUUAUAGUUUAUGACAACAUCAACUUUAUUUUGUUGGAAAGCGUACAAACAUAGCAACUGGGGAGCGGUUUCCCUGCGAAGCUUCAAGGAUGUGCAUUUAAUUGAGUCAUUUGUCUUAAAAAUUUUAAUAUCUGCGAGAUAGUUUGAAGUCACUAUCUCUGCAUUUUAUAAAAAUACAUAUCUUUAACCAUUUCUUAAGCAGCUGGUUGCUAAGACCCAAAAUGUGCUAAACCCUUUGUAUGGCCCCUCUGCAGUUCCGGGAGAGAUCGGCAGAGACUGUGGGUGUCUAUGGAGUGGUUCCAUGUGGUUAUGCUGUUUAGACUUCGUCAUCAAGAUACCCAUACCGGCAGGGGCCGGCCCUGUGGCGCAGCGGUUAAGUGCACACGUUCUGCUUCUCAGCAGCCUGGAGUUCGCCGGUUCGGAUCCCGGGUGCGGACAUGACACCGCUUGGCAAAAGCCAUGCUGUGGCAGGCAUCCCACAUAUAAAGUAGAGGAAGAUGGGCAUGGAUGUUAGCUCAGGGCCAGUCUUCCUCAGCAAAAAGAGGAGGAUUGGCGGCAGAUGUUCUCUUAGGGCUAAUCUUCCUCAAAAAAGAAAAAAAAAAAAGUGGGAACCUGGGAGUAAUUUCCACAGAGAUGAUAGCUGAAGACAGUGAAUGUGGUAACCAAAGACAGAGUGUCAACGGAUUUGUAUUUGAGAUACAAUGGGAGAAAAACAUCGAGGAGAAGAAGCUGCCAAACCUGGAGUCAGGCUGAACCUUUCCAUAGCUGUGAGACUUUGGGCAGCUAACUUAAUCUUCUGAGCCUAAGGUUGUUCCCAUGUGGAAUGGGAAGUAAUGUAUAUGAAGCCUAGCGAUGGUUAGUUCCUCUCCCUUUUCAAAGAAGAAAGAAUUAGUAAAACGAGUACCCCAGGGACCUUGGAAAGAGAUUUCAAGAAGGAAAUGGUCAAGAAUGGGGUCAUGGGCAAUAGGAAUCAGAAGAGUCUGGGAAUUCUGGAGCCGACAUACUCCCUGCAGUGCCACCAGCGUUGUUGGCUCUCAGUCCCCUGUGAAUUGUCUCCGAUAAUGAUAGGUGAAGCAGCAGCUGUGAAGACUGCAGCUUCUCUGUGAAUAUCCGUCUUGUUUUACAUUAUAAUGUGUUUUCUUCAGUGAAGGAGAAAGGGUGGGACUUCAGAUAGAGCCAGAAAUUGCUGCUGACCCUGAGAGUGCCCGUUUAGCUCUUAUGCCAGAAAAACGUUUUAAGAAUGGCCACUCCUAGGAAGCCAGUUCAGGAGAGUGGAAGGAGCAGAAAUCAGAUUAUUUGGGUUUAACGAGCAUGUGAAGAAAAAUUGAAAGCUAUGGGUACAGACAUUUUGAAACUGCAACAUUGAUGCAUUUUCCACUCAAGGUCCCAGUAAUCCUAGACCAAAAAGAAUUCUGACUUGAAUUUCUCUAAAUGAUGUAGGGUACUCGCUCAUUACCCAACCUUCCAGUCUUCUGACUUUAUUCCAGACCAACCUCCUUACCCUACGAGCGGCAUCCAGUAAGGGUUGUGGGCUCCGCAGGCCUGCCUACCAUCUGCGCCUUUUCAUUUUGUUCUCUCUUUGCUUAUUUUAUUCCCUGCUCGCUCUCUCUAUAUUGACCUGGAGUGUAACCUGACUUUGGCUUCUCUGUCUGACCCCAUGUUCCUCAUCAUUACUCAAAGUCCAGUAAAAGACAGUCCUUUCUUUUCUCAUUUCAUUCGACCUUCUCUCCCACCCACCCCACCCCAUGCCUCCUUCUCUCCAGACCGCUCUCUUCUCCAAAUGGAACCAGAGCUUCCUGGCUCCAGGGCUGUUUGUUUGGUUUGAAAGUUCCUGGCCCUCCCUCUGGCUUCAUUUUCUUUGCCUAUUGGGAUUCUCUGCCCUUCAGCCCUCAACUCACAUUCAGUCCAGGACCUCUCCAGAGCUCUGUGUACUUAGAUUAUCUGCAGCAUUUUGUCAGGCCAUGUCUGCCAGUCAUUUCCAGCUGUCUAAGCGCCUGGACUUGGCAUGCCUCAGCAGUCAUUUCUCUGCCCUUUUCUCUUUUCACCCCUCCUUGCCCUCCAGCGCUUUCACAUAAUAGUCACUCAGUAAAUGUCUUUUAUUGAUAGUCGAGAAGAAACUCAUUAAUUCUGGUUCAGAUGUCAUGUAACACUUUUCACCUGCUCAUUGUGUUGGCAAUGCAUUUGAUAUUUCAUUUCCCCCCUCUGCUUAACAAACGGGUUUCUCUGUGUGUGAGUAAAAUACUAAAUUUUUGUUUCACUCUUCUGGAGUCUUCUAGUUUUUUGUUUGUUUGUUUUUUACUUUGAGAAGCCAAUGGUUAUUGGAAGGAAUCAAGGUGACCGUGGUAAAGCCUCUCACCAGUGCUUUAUAAGCCUGUUGGUUCUUGUUGUGUUUUAUUUUUUUAAGGUAGCAUAUUGCUUUUCAAAUCAUAAAAAUAGUACAUAUUUACUCUAGAUGACAGAAACAGAAAUGAAUAACAGCACUCGUAGGUAUAUACCCAGGAGAAUUGGGAACAGGGAACAUACGGUCACACAAAACUUUGUACAUGAGUGUUCCUAGCAGCAUUACUCAUAAUAGUCAAAAGGUUGAAACAGCCCAAAUGUCCAUCAACUGAUGGAUGAAUAAACAAAAUUGGGUAUGGCCAUACAAUGGAAUAUUAUUCAGCCCUAAAAAAGUGUUGAAUACAUGCCACAACACAACCUUGAAAACACUAUGCUAAGUGAAAGAAACCAGAUACAAAAGACCACAUAGCGUAUAUUUCCAUCUGUAUGAAAUGUCUAGAAUAGGCAAAUCCAUGGAGAUAGAAAGUAGAUUCGUGGUUGCCAGGGGCUGGGGGAUGGGAGGAAUGAGGAGUGACUCCCAGCAGAUGCAGGGUUUCUUUUUUGGGGUGGUGAAAAUGUUUUGCAAUUAGGCAGUGGUGAUGGUUGCACAACCUCACGAAUUUACUAAAAAUCACUGAGUUGUACACUUUAGGUGAAUUUUAUGGUUGUGAAUUAUAUUUCAAUUUUUAAAAUAAAGGAAAAAUAAAAAUCACUGGUAGUGUAUUAUUUCCUUUCAGUGUUCUGACACGUGUUACUGAAACGCUUUCCAAAGAGGGCGUGUGUAACUGUUCACUGUUUGGCAUCCUUGCUAGAAUUCAGAAUUGCUAUUUUCUAAAUCUUUCUAAAUUUGACAGAUGAAAAUAUUGUACCUCAUCGUUUAAAUAUAUGGAUUUUUGUAAUGACUGGUGAGAUUAUUUUCAUGUGUAUGAUUUUUAGCCAUUGGAAUUUCUUCCAUUUCUUAAUCUUAUUUAAAUGAUGGUCUUAAUGGCUUUCUUAUAGCUUAUUCCACAUCUCUUUUCUUUUUAAACAUAGAAAAACAGUUCAUGUUCCCAAACAGAAUGCUGCUAAAGUGUCUGCAUUUAGGAUAAUGUUUCCCCAAGGCGUGAAAAUAAUUGAUUAGCGUUUGUGCAACUAAAUAGCGCACACAAGUGUGCAGAUCAAAGAUCAGUUUUCCCAAAUGUCAUUUCCCCCCUUUUAGCACAAAACCAUUUUCAGCUUUGAAGUAAUAGUAUUUUCCGCGUCUGUGUGUAUUUACAUUCCAGAAAUAAAGCUCACUUGGCAUUUGGGUACUGUUUUUUUCAAAACAGUUCUGAACUUCAUUUGCUAGUAUUUUAUAAAAUAUUUUCUAGGCUUUAGAGUGAGGUUAUGUUAACAGUGCAAAGUCAAUUGGGCUUUUUUUUUUUUUUUUUUUUAAUCUAUGCUCUAGAAGAAAUUUAUUUAGCAGGGAAUUAUCUGUUCCUUGAAAGUUUGAAAGAAUUUAUCCACAACACCUUAGGGGCCUGGCACUUCAAUAACAUUUUCAAGUUUCUUUCAUCAAUAAUAAUCAGUUGAUAUUUCCUACUCUUUUGAAGUCAGUUUUAGUCAUUUACACCAUAGAGAUGCACAUAGCAUCUUCAUAAUUCUUUGCAAACUCUUUCUGGCCACGUAUGCUGUUGGGCAGAUUUGCUGCCCCUGUGCCGAUUGAACUUGCGCCUCUGUGAUCUGAGAGCAGAGCUGCAGGCAAGGCCAUCCCCUCCCGUGGCCCCCAGGAUCCUCUUACUAUAAAGAAAACCUCACCCUGUUCCUCCUCCUCUUAAAGCACUUUAAUGGCUCGAUGUUACCUUCAGGAUAAAGCCCAAGCUUUUCUCAUGGCAGAGAGGCCAUUUUAGGUUAGGUCCCUGGCGACCCCUCCAGCCUCAACCCUCACCACUUGCCCUAACCACUCACGCAAAGUCUCCUGUAGUGAACUUCCUGCCAUUUCCCAGAUGUCUGCCCUUCCCUGCUCUGGGCCUUUGUGCAUGCUGCUUCCUCAACUGAGUGCCCCGUCCGUCUAACUAACCCCCACCCCACCCUUGGGACUCCACUCAGACGCCAACUCCUCCGUGACUUAUCUUCCCACGGGUUGUGUACCCCUGGGCCUGUGCCUCCACAGCCACACCCCUCACUCCUGCCCUAGCAUUCAACACUAAUUAUUUUAAUUGCCCCUUUCGUUGUUUGUGUUCAUCAUUAGAUUGGGAAUGUUGAGGGCAGGGAGGGUCAGUAACACUCAAUCUUGUAUCCCAAGCAGCUACCUUAGGACCUGAUGUGAAGUCCAUUGUAUUGAAUGAAUCAAUGAACAAAUAAAGAUAAGCAUGCCUUUAUCACUAAUCUUAUGCCUACAGCUAAUCAUGCAAGCGUCAAGAGUGUAGACUGAAGCCAGACUGCUUGAGUUCACUUUCCAGCAUCACCAUUUGCUUUCUGUACCUCUCUGUGCCUCAGUGGACACCCAUGUUAGCUACUUCUCAAGGUCAAGGACAUGAUGCUGGCAUUCGAUGACAUCAAACUAAUAGGACUUGGAGGCAGGACAUAGCAGGUGCUGUAGACACCUUGGAUAAGAUACAUAUGUGCCCAAAGUGAGAGAUGUAGCCCAUGGAAGUAUAAAGGGCUGCCACCUCAUUAAAGUAUAAAUCUCUUAUAAAGUCCAAGGAUUUGGAUGUCAUCUUCAAAGGAAGAGGUCUCACGGACUCCUCUGGUUCUGAUCAAGAAACUCACUUUACAAUUUAAGAAGAAAAUGGGCUGAUGUUUAUGGUGUUUAUGGUUCAGGUGUUUCUCCAUGUAUCCUGGCAGAAGCAGGCAGCCUUAAGCAGUCCAUAGGUUACAGGAUAUAAAGACGGAAGCCAGCUGGAACUAGAGAAAGAACAUCACCGAGAGAGAUCCUGGAUGGGAAGCUGGAUGCGCUGAUGAGACCUUGCGGUGUCUCCUUUUUGGACUGAGGCCAAUUUCCAAAGCCGCUGAGAUAUAAUCAUAGGAGCUACACAGACCAAGAUCAAAAUACUAGCUUUGUGACUGAUAAAGGAGACCAUGGCUUCACCUCCCCAGACUUCCUACCACCUACCCCCAAAAUUGUAGUCCUCCACAUGUUCUGGAGUGUCCCGUAAGAAGCGAUUUAAUGAAAAAGAAACCGUCUUGGAAUUUUCCGCAGCCCAUGAUUUGAGAUAACUGGCGUUGUAACCAACAGCCUGUCUGGAUCAAGAAUGGACGCCUGCAGGCGACAGCUCCCUCCACAAACCUUCUUCUGAUUUCUCCAGUAGAACGACAUAGAUAGCACCUCGCUACGUCCCGUACAGAUUGCACUAAAGAACUCAAGCUGUUCACCAACUGCUCUGCCUUUCAGACGAACAACAGAGGAUGCGAGGAUUGCGACCAUGUAAUAGGAGAUGUUGGACAAAAAGUGAUUAAAAAGCAAGAUCUCAAGUUACUCCUGCCACUGAGGCAUUUAGUACUGUUGCACAGGAAAUGCCAGAGCGUUGUGCAAAUGGAGGAGCCAUUUUCAGUUCUCACCUCAAGCUGGAAGGGACUUCUCUGGCCAGAGGGCCUUUAAAACCCCUUUUUGUCACCGCAGUCUGUAAUGAAUACAGCCACUAGAAGAGAAGCCACUAGAACCACAGAGCCCAUCUCUAACCUCGGGUUAGAGAUUCGGAGUGCCAGCCCCCUCAGCUGUUCCCAGACUCAGCAUGCAAACACUGUCCCUUCAGCGUGUGCGGAAAACGACGUUUAGUAAUCAGAUCCUGUAGAAAGAGGCAGACCUCCCAGUGCAGGGCACACUGUGAGAUGGGGAGACGUGCGCUGCCUACAGAGAAUUAGACCCAACCUGCCCCUCUGCUUUAGGGCCAUCACCAGAAUCAUCUGAAGCGGAGCGGGAGCUGGGGAUCAGAACCCACCAUGGGUUGCUACGCAGUGUGUGCUAUUGCCCCCCCUUCAGUCAUUCUCAAUGCUUCAUUUUGCCAUAUUCCUAAAGUUCUGAGCUUGGAGAAUUCUAAGGCAAUAUUAGAGUCUUCUAGAAAAAUAAAGAUAUGCAUUGUCUUUUACUUCUUUCCCAUCGUUCCUGCCACACAUUACAAUAGCUCUUUAUUUAAGGGGGCAUCUAAUUUGGUGGAAAGAGCAUUUCACUUGCUGUUUUAUGUGGGACAAGGCUUCCUGUGCUUUAUUUCGUUAUCUGCAGUGCCAGUUUUUAUGGUUCUGCGGUAAAUUUACUGGCGGGGAGUGGGUAUGGGGUGGAACAGAAUAACAUGGGGUCUAGAGUGCCUAGAUGGCAGGCAGAUAGUUCGGCCAGAAAAAUAGCAAGGCCAAAAACAAAUUGUACCUUUGAGAGCCUGAAAGAGCGUGAGCUGAGUCCCCGACUGUAAUUUUAACUGUGUUGAUUGUGAGGGCAGGUGUUUGCUCUCUGAUAAUGAGUAGACUUUAAUCCUAGGUGUGAGUACAAAUCAUGUCAACAAGGGUGGCUCCGGAGAAAUUCAAAGUAAUUGCCCAAGACAUAACAUCAGCCCACAACCAAAUUCUCACACUGAAGAAUUAUGCUACUGGUGAGUAGGAAUGGCAGUCCUGAUACAGCUCAUUAGAUAACAGAAAAGGCGCUGAUUCUUCCAAGUCAACAAAUAUCUUCUGAUGCUUCAGGAGCCAGCUGAGCAAGCUAUUCCAGCCAUGGAGAGGCGUGGCUCUGGUGGUGACACGCGGUGUGGUGACACAUGGUGAACACCCAAACUCGGUCAUGCUGAUUAGUUGCGUAAUGGAUGGAUGAGUCAAAGAUCACGCUUUCUAGUUUGUCAGCUACCUGGUAGCUCCCAGGAACUUGCUCUGGUCUGUCAGUGGCUACGUGCAAGCAAUGCUGGGGCUCCUUAUGAGCCCACGGAGUCAUCAUCAGGACCUGAGUUUCAGGGGAGCAGGUAAAGAGGCAAGAUAAAAGGACUCCUGACACCCACCCUUUAAUCCAAAGAGGGAGAUUCUGUCAGGGACUGUGUUUCCGUGAGCAUCUUCAAUUUCUUCAGGGCAUAGUGAAUUUAUGACAGCCCAAGGGAAGGAGCAAAGUAAGAGUCUGAUCUAGCAAAGUCAGCUCUGGCAAGGUAGGAAACCUUACCUACAAGACACGGCUGCCACUAGCCAGUCAAUAGCACCCACAGCUGUGGUUCCAUGUUUUCUCCAGUGAGCUUCCUCCCACAAGUCCUCUGACUAUAAUAUUGGUGUCAACUGGUCACACAGCUAACCAGUAGUCCUGGAGUGGGUGGAGGGUUAGCUUUCCUCCCAAAUCAGCACAACCGAGGAGUAAUCAAGGAGUAAUAUACUCCCAGGUUUAAAUCCUAGCUAAGCUACUUAAUAAUUGGAUGACCAUGGACAGAUAAUUAAUCUCUGAGUCUCGGUUUCCUCAUCAGUAAAUUAAGGAUAAUAAUAUUGACUUUGUAGGGUUGUUUUGAAGACUGAAUUAAAUCCGGUGUAUAAAACACCUAACACAAUGCCUAGCACAGGUGGAAGCUCCAUAAAUAGUUCUCGUCUCUGGGAUUAGUGAACCUCAGAAUCGGAAAUAUGUUACAGGUCAUCCAAUAAAAUCUUCCUUCUGCUUUUCUGUUGCCGGAAUCCUCUCCUCCACCCCUAAGAUAUGUGACUAUCCAGCCUAUGCUUUGAAUCUGUCCAAGGCAAGAGAAAAUCCUCUUCAGGAGUUCUGAGGUUCUUGCUGAAAUUGAGCUGAAACACAACUCCCGGGGGCUUCUACUAUUUGAAA
This is a long non-coding RNA of Equus asinus (donkey), 9569 nucleotides long. The record is from Ensembl. NCBI's taxonomy places the organism in Eukaryota, Metazoa, Chordata, Mammalia, Perissodactyla, Equidae.